This 35-nucleotide ribosomal RNA is filed under the name Lasallia pustulata. RNAcentral's name for it is "partial 28S ribosomal RNA". The record is from RNAcentral. Lineage: Eukaryota; Fungi; Ascomycota; Lecanoromycetes; Umbilicariales; Umbilicariaceae.
UGACUCGGAUCAGGUAGGGAUACCGCUGAACUUAA